Molecule: small nucleolar RNA, 106 nt
Filed under: Gossypium arboreum
Lineage: Eukaryota; Viridiplantae; Streptophyta; Magnoliopsida; Malvales; Malvaceae
Description: Plant small nucleolar RNA R71
Rfam family: Plant small nucleolar RNA R71
About the family: R71 is a member of the C/D box family of snoRNAs containing the C (UGAUGA) and D (CUGA) box motifs. Multiple nearly identical copies of this snoRNA have been identified in Arabidopsis, and it is thought to function as a 2'-O-ribose methylation guide for 18S ribosomal RNA.
Source: Rfam by way of RNAcentral
AACCCAUGGUGAGGGCACCUUCUCAAAAAAUCCUUGUAUCUCUCCCAUGCAUCGUAGAGUGUUUUUAAAUCCAUCUGCACAAAAGAGGAGAUAUCAUUAUGUAAUU